RNAcentral lists this small nuclear RNA (99 nucleotides) under Zalophus californianus (California sea lion). Lineage: Eukaryota; Metazoa; Chordata; Mammalia; Carnivora; Otariidae. The record is from RNAcentral.
GUGCUCACUUCAGCGGCACAUAUACUAAAAUUGGAAGGAUACAGAGAGGAUUAGCAUGGCCCCUGAGCAAGGAUGACAUACAAGUUAGAACCCUUCGUU